RNAcentral lists this small RNA (5210 nucleotides) under Pyricularia oryzae. Its description in RNAcentral is "Magnaporthe oryzae sRNA M_BR32_EuGene_00146511". The record is from RNAcentral. Lineage: Eukaryota; Fungi; Ascomycota; Sordariomycetes; Magnaporthales; Pyriculariaceae.
AAUUAAAUGGUUAAAAACUAGAGUUCUAAAUCUCUUAUUCCAAAACCGUCAGGGAGCUCCCAUGGUUUAUAAUGGGCGGUUCCACACAAUAAAAUUCUUUUCCCAGGGAUCCCUAAUAAAAGAAACAACUUUGGUAAAUCAAUUAGCCGCUUAACGCUUUUGGUCUCUUCGGGCAAGCGCCGUUUAACAUAUAUUUUUAAACUUUCGGAACGUUUGGAAGUUUCUUCUGUUUGUGCAACCAGGUUAUUAUCCGAAUAACACUGUCCUGUGGUUGGGUUCAGUGUGUUGCAACCAAUGACCUUUUGCAUUGCCCGAUUCGGUUUUUCAAUGAUUGGGUUAGUUAAACUCAAUUAAUAACGGAGCGAGUAGUAGUUUGCCGAUGUUACCUCAUUCAAGGUCUGUUUAUUUACGGUACCUUGCAUUACUAGUUUAAUAUUUUAGGUCGUGCUAUACGAUUGCUGUUGAAAAAGAAGAAACUCGAAACAAAAGCCCUGCCUGCAUAUUAUUAACAUUAGCUUCUUCUAAAUUUUUUGCCAUUAUUUAAUAUUUGUAUAUUUUGUUUUGUAAAUUUUAAUUCAAUUUUAUAUUAUCCUGGCCCCAUAAUACCUGCCGAAUCAGAUAAAUGCGCUAGCCUAUUAUAUUUCCCCAACUUUUUUUUCCAUGUUCUCCGGUUGUUGCAAAAAUGGAAUAUACUGCAUAUUACCAAAGGUUUGAUAAACGAAUCGCUAAAUCUUUCUCCACAAUAGUUAAAGUGCUUAUCCUUAUUACCGCUGCGGAUAAUUAAAUAUAUGAUUUUUUCAUGCGGAGUAGGUUUAGCCGCAGGAAAUUCUACGUUCUAACUUUAUCUUUAAAUCUGGAAACAAAAUAUAUGCUGAACAUAAUCAUAAUCUUUCUUUUAUUCCAAGGAUUGUAAUUACCUGCCCUGGUGUUGUUAAUUAAUGAUUAAAGGUGCAUAAGCUUUCGGCGUUAAAUUGGCCAAAUUGUAUCCGUUUAGUUUUGAGGACAUAUAUUAGAACCUAUUAGGCAUUCAGGGGUUUUGCCGAUUAUUACACUGCGAUGUUCAAAGCUUUGCCAACACGUACCGACCACAUUUACUGCAAACUAGCAUGUUUUAUUUUGCCGACACUGCCUUAAUAUUAUAAUUUUUACAUAAUAGAGUAAUCCUAAUCGUGGUAUUUUUAUUCAGAAGCAAUGGGAUGUUUUGUAUAAACGUCUGGCCGUCAAGCUGAAGGUGGUUUGGAUAUAAAUAUGAAGAUAUCGCCCAGCUUAAAUAAGCCCUUUGAUACGAAACACUAUCACAACUUCCUUCGGCACUUCUAUAUUUAAUACCAUAAACUUCUAACCCAAAUCAAGUUAAUUUGUAGCUAACUUUGACAGAUUUUAAACCCUUUAUUUAUUAACAAAAAGCAAAAUGAAAUUCAUUUACUUUACAGCUUUAAUUUCCGUUCUCGCGGUCGCUAUCCCCACCGGCCGCGGUUUAACUUCUGGCGUAAAUAUACUCUAAUAAUUAUUUACCGAUAAUUUGAAAAUAUCUUACGGUCCCUCACUCUAACAACCACACAUUACUUCAGCUUAUGAGACGCGAGGGCGGCGAGGUAUCCACCAAUUACAUCUUUACCGAUAAUCCUGCUGAGGGUGGUAAAACCACGCAAAAGAAGAAGCGCGAAGGCGGUGAGGUGUCGACCAAUUAUAUCUUUACCGACGACCCUGCUGAGGGUGGUAAAGCUACCCAGUAAAUGUGUGGUUAAAGUGUAUUUAAGGAAAGAUUGGUUUUAAUAUAGUUGGUUUGGUUAUUAUAUAUAAUAAACAGUGAAAUUAAAUUUAAACCCUUUUAUCUAUUCUUUGAUAAAUUAUUAGCGUUAGUUAAUAAUUGGAUUUUGGUUUUACGCGAUAUAUAUUAUAAAUUCGUACCAAAAGUACGUAUUACAAAAACGAAUGUAAGGGAGAUAGGGCCACGUUAAAAUUAUUCUAUAUAUGUAAAUAUUGUUACGGCCAGGUAUAUAUUGGAGAGUUUUAAUGUAUUAUCGUCUCGGGGUUUAUCCCUGAAACCCGUAGCUCCACAAUUAAACCGCGCCGCCGUGGCUCAAUUGCGGCUGUGUAUUGUACCUGUGGUUCCAAACACAGAUCGCUUCGGUUCAGAGCGUGAUCUUUUCGACCGAUUUGAUUGGUCGAAAAGCCAUGUGGCUGGUAAGGUAUAUGGAGCGCUUUGUCCCCUGCGCAGCCGGGGUUUAGGCUGAGCACUGAGACUAAAAAUAGAGCCAUGUUGCAGGAAGAACCUGGUUUAUACAAUUUACACCUCCCAUACUGCUGGAAUUGACGGGCGGAGUUUCGCGUUGCACUGCCCGUUCUUCCUAACGUGGAAAAAAACAUAUUAACUUCCUGGCGUCCACCACCAAGCUCAAAUUCAACGUCGUCGACAAUUUACACGGUAGUGAAACUCCAGCAAAUUGCUCCUUCAAAAAUCGUCAAUAUCGCGAAAUUAAAAACAAAAAAGACGGGAAAACGAACGUUCGCAGCCGCUGGUGUAACUAACUCGCAAAAUCGUCGAGCCGAGUGCGAGCUCGCUAUGCUCCAGCCACCAACGGUUUAGGCCACGCGCAAUGCGAAUUUCAUUUCGGAUUUGUUUGGACCAUCGAAUGCCGCCAACCGGUAUUGCGGCCAGUAUAUAAAAGCGAAAAAAAGGCCGAAGGAAAGGAGCCGUUUUGCUGGAUAGGCAAAUAUAAAUAUAACGCUCACAAUUUGGCAGGUUUAAUUACGGUGAAACACUGAAGAUUGUUUGGUGUAGGGAAGAGUGGGUUUUCGCAUCCUCAAAGUAUGCUGAAGUAUUUUUUAAGAAUAACUAAUAUUAUCCGCUUAAAAACACUUCCCCUCCUCCCGCUGCCCUUAAACUCCCCUCCUCCCGCUGCCCUCAAACUCCCCUCCUCCCGCUGCCCUCGAACUCCCUUCCGGAGGCUAUCGCAGCGGUUAAUAAUCCCCGGCUUGCCUUUCUCUCUUUCCCUCCAUUUGACUUCAUAUCUUGCAAGGGCCGUUUAGAGAAAUUAAACUCAGCCUUGAGCCUUUUGGGAAAUCACUGUCCUUUGUCAAGCCGCAUUUACAAUAUUUCGCGCCGCACUGGAUUUUCACGUCAGGAGCGCCAGGAAUAUUAAACACGGUGGGCGUGUCCGUCUUAAUGCACUUCCUGACGAUCAAUUUCUCGGGUAAGCCGAUGAAGUUCUUCUUUUCGAUUCCGGUCGUGCAUCCAUUAAAUUCGGCAUUCUGUUUGUCGUCUGUUUUGUCGGGGGCGGGGAAGGCGAGGCUUGCUGAAAAGGCUAUAAUGGCAAAAACGAUGUAUCGCAUUGUUGUUUUGUUUAUAUCCUGAGUUUUUCCGUAGUUGAAAAACGAAUGAAAAAUAAAGAAAAGGUUAUGAAAAUUGUAUCGGUUUAUAAUUUGUUUGGUUGACGAACCGUUUUGUAAUAUAAAAAAUGUCGAUGCAAUUUUCGGAUAAAAGGCCGGUGUUAGGAAACCAGGUUUGGGGAAGAGGUGGAGGAAGAAUAUUCGAGUUUAAAUAUAUUUUAAUAUUCCAAAGGAAGGAUAAUAUUAUCCGAUAACACACUCCUCUAAAUUAAAAUUAUAACCGCGUACCAAAAUAGUAAGGUAAUAUUAAUAUAAAACAAAACAAAAAUAUAAAACCAGUAUAUUUUGGUAUUAAUAUAAUCUGUCUUUGAAAUAUGUAACGCAAAUAUAAUUGCAAUAUAAUUUUGUUUCAGUAAAAUUUUAAUGCCGGGGUUUUGGGGUUAGUUUUCCCUGUACCAUACCAAAAUAUUUGGGAAUAGCAUCUGGGGCUAAUUAUUGGCCUGGUGCAUUAAUUGUUUGCAUUACUAGUGUGGUUCCCCCUCUUUAAUUUUCUCAAAUCGUCCCCGGAAUUAAUCCAAUUGCAACACGGAACAAACCGGGAUAAAUAAAUAUUUAUAUUACCCCUUGGGCUAUACCUUGGCGCUGGCUCGAGUAACAAUUAAUUUAACAAUUGAAAGGCGUAUUACUUUUGCUCGGUAUUCCUACAUCCAUUAGCUAUUAUAUUAUGCAUGUUUUGGUAGGUAAUAAAUCGCAAUUAUAUACGCCGCUUUCGGAUAAGGCAAUUAUAAAUUUGGGUUUAUAUAUAGAGGGAAAAAAUAAAAAAAGCUAAUGGCUGUAGGCAAAUUAUAUUUAUUAUUCGUAAUAAUUUCAAUUUUGCACAAUUAUAUUUAUUUCGAUAAAUUAAAUAGUUUUAACUAAUUAUAAAUAGGUUUUUUUUGGUUUGUAAAUUUUUCUAAUUAUCCUUUUUUAUUCUAAUAAUUAAAUAUAAUAUCGUCACUUUUAAAAACUGUUAUAUUAAUUUUUCAUCCGUUAAAUAUCGAAAUAACCAGGGUUAUUUUAAUAAUUACUACCGUUAUUAUUAAUAGAAAUCGUAUAAUCGCUACGAUCAGUAAAAACAAUAUAAUAAAUUAAACGGUAGUUUAGUUUUUAUCCUCUAGUUAUUUAUAUAUUCGUCAGACUCGGUUGAACAUUCUUUUACGUGUUAUGAGAUUACGUGGUUAAACACGUAAUUUACCUACUCGCAUAUCUGCCCAUAAACCAACAGUUAUAAGAAUAGGAACAUUGUUUAUUUUUGCUAUAUUAAAAAGUUUCGAAUCCCGUACAACUUAUGUCUGUUUUAAACUAUUAGCACACGUAAUCUUAACAUUAGGACUUAUUAUUUUAAUACUUCUCUGCCAAAAUUAGCCGACGCGUGGCUGGCGUAAUCUCCUGUUGGUUUAUGGGCAGACAUUAAUUAACUAAUUAAUUAAUUAAUUAAUUGAGAUUUAUUACGCCUUCUACCCACAGUGAGCAACGCGGCCAAUAAAAAAAAGGAGUAGAGGCUAGCCUAGGUCCCCCUGUGUGUACCACCUCCAUCCAAAUUACGUGCCCUAUUUAAUACCUAUAAAUCCCUGACGGUGCCUGAGGAAUAUAUUCUGCCUGCAAAUGCAAUCCUUAUUUGUCGCCCCCUUGCGCGUGCCCAUAUUUUAUAAUCCCUGCCGCCCUAACCCCCUGUUGUGUUUUAUCCAUGCUGUUGGUUUAUGGGCAGAUAUGCGUGUAGGUAGAUCACGUGUUUAACCACGUGAUUUCAUAACAUGUAAAAGAAUCUUCAACCGAUUUUGACGAGCAUGUAAAUAGUUAGAAGAGAGAGACGAAAUUACGUUUAAUUUGUUAUAUUA